This 21-nucleotide non-coding RNA is filed under the name Caenorhabditis elegans. The record is from RNAcentral. Lineage: Eukaryota; Metazoa; Nematoda; Chromadorea; Rhabditida; Rhabditidae.
UUAUUUCAAUACGAGUUGAUU